UUAAUUUAUUAAUUAAGUUUACUCAGACUGCAAAGUUACGCAAGAGUUUGAAGUGUCCACCCGGAGCCCCCGCCCGAAGGCAGGGUCGCCCCGGAGGCAACAGAGUCGGAAAACAAAGGGUUGUGCGUUCCCAGCUGUACAAGCCUGGGGCGUCAUAUAAUGAUCCCUCCGCAGGUUCACCUACGGAGA
RNAcentral lists this unclassified non-coding RNA (189 nucleotides) under uncultured fungus. RNAcentral describes it as "sequence contains ITS1". Lineage: Eukaryota; Fungi. The record is from RNAcentral.